This 468-nucleotide ribosomal RNA is filed under the name uncultured bacterium. Its description in RNAcentral is "partial 16S ribosomal RNA". It matches the Rfam family "Bacterial small subunit ribosomal RNA", at positions 28 to 507 of the family's 1533-position model. The record is from RNAcentral.
GACGAACGCUGGCGGCGUGCUUAACACAUGCAAGUCGAACGGAAAGGCCCUGCUUUUGUGGGGUGCUCGAGUGGCGAACGGGUGAGUAACACGUGAGUAACCUGCCCUUGACUUUGGGAUAACUUCAGGAAACUGGGGCUAAUACCGGAUAGGAGCUCCUGCUGCAUGGUGGGGGUGGGAAAGUUUCGGCGGUUGGGGAUGGACUCGCGGCUUAUCAGCUUGUUGGUGGGGUAGUGGCUUACCAAGGCUUUGACGGGUAGCCGGCCUGAGAGGGUGACCGGCCACAUUGGGACUGAGAUACGGCCCAGCCUCCUACGGGAGGCAGCAGUGGGGAAUAUUGCACAAUGGGCGGAAGCCUGAUGCAGCAACGCCGCGUGCGGGAUGACGGCCUUCGGGUUGUAAACCGCUUUCGCCUGUGACGAAGCGUGAGUGACGGUAAUGGGUAAAGAAGCACCGGCUAACUACGUG